AAUAUGAUUGUUUCGAGACUAUCU
RNAcentral lists this non-coding RNA (24 nucleotides) under Gossypium hirsutum (cotton). The record is from RNAcentral. Lineage: Eukaryota; Viridiplantae; Streptophyta; Magnoliopsida; Malvales; Malvaceae.